AACCUGUGCGUUGUUAUUUGUGUACUUGCUUAUUUAAGACACGUACGCAGAGCUGACAAGAGUGCAGCAACAGCGACGAGACCACAACAAAACCUUCAGCGGAUUGAGCCCCCAUCCUCCAAGUCCAGCCCCCUUUACCGCCCAGCCGUUCAAGUCAACGAACCCCAAUGUAAGCAGGCAGUAAAAGUCAUCUCGUCGUUUUUCCCGCGGCUUUUUAGUCACAUAUUUAGCCGAUGAAGCUGGUGGUGGGAAAAAAACGUAGCAGUAGUAAUAAACAAUAAACAAGGCAGCCAGCCCAUCAUCGUUGUUGUUGCAGCCGAUAGUGCAAAUAUGCACAAUGAAGUGCAAACAGCGAAGCCCGUAUGCGUAGUGGAAAUGAUAAACGGGAGAAGAGGUGCUUAAGCAUUGUUUACCCGGCGUAUACGUAAUAAAGGAAACUUCAUUUGAAGCUUCCGUUUGGCGAUAUUUCUUUGGCGAAAUAUAAUGAAUACCCAUUGGGAUAUGUGGAUAUUUAGCUUAAAAUAAACUGACCAAAUACGAACCCAAUGAAUCUUGAAGUAAUAUGACUAACCAAUACUUCUCAACACUGAAUUCUUUCCAAGAAGUGAACUUCGUUUUUAAUGAUAAAUCCAUUUCAAAAGACCAACUACUUUUUUCAUAAAACACUGCCACGUUCCGAUGACGAAUUGCAAAGAAGAUCUAAUCACAUUCUUGUUCUGAUAAAAACCAACCCAAAUAAAUUUGGGCUUUCCGCAGAUAACACUAAAGGCUGCCAUAGACAGAAGAAAAAACACAAGAGCG
Drosophila melanogaster (fruit fly) is the source of this 801-nucleotide non-coding RNA. NCBI's taxonomy places the organism in Eukaryota, Metazoa, Arthropoda, Insecta, Diptera, Drosophilidae. The record is from Ensembl.